CCGGUGAUCUAGCCAUGGGCAGGUUGAAGGUUGGGUAACACUAACUGGAGGACCGAACCGACUAAUGUUGAAAAAUUAGCGGAUGACCUGUGGCUGGGGGUGAAAGGCCAAUCAAACCGGGAGAUAGCUGGUUCUCCCCGAAAGCUAUUUAGGUAGCGCCUCGUGAAUUCAUCUCCGGGGGUAGAGCACUGUUUCGGCUAGGGGGCCAUCCCGGCUUACCAACCCGAUGCAAACUGCGAAUACCGGAGAAUGUUAUCACGGGAGACACACGGCGGGUGCUAACGUCCGUCGUGAAGAGGGAAACAACCCAGACCGCCAGCUAAGGUCCCAAAGUCAUAGUUAAGUGGGAAACGAUGUGGGAAGGCCCAGACAGCCAGGAUGUUGGCUUAGAAGCAGCCAUCAUUUAAAGAAAGCGUAAUAGCUCACUGGUCGAGUCGGCCUGCGCGGAAGAUGUAACGGGGCUAAACCAUGCACCGAAGCUGCGGCAGCGACACUGUGUGUUGUUGGGUAGGGGAGCGUUCUGUAAGCCUGUGAAGGUGUGUCGUGAGGCAUGCUGGAGGUAUCAGAAGUGCGAAUGCUGACAUAAGUAACGAUAAAGCGGGUGAAAAGCCCGCUCGCCGGAAGACCAAGGGUUCCUGUCCAACGUUAAUCGGGGCAGGGUGAGUCGACCCCUAAGGCGAGGCCGAAAGGCGUAGUCGAUGGGAAACGGGUUAAUAUUCCCGUACUUGGUGUUACUGCGAAGGGGGGACGGAGAAGGCUAUGUUGGCCGGGCGACGGUUGUCCCGGUUUAAGCGUGUAGGUGUGUGUUCCAGGUAAAUCCGGUUCACUUUAACACUGAGGCGUGACGACGAGGCACUACGGUGCUGAAGCAACAAAUGCCCUGCUUCCAGGAAAAGCCUCUAAGCAUCAGGUAACAUCAAAUCGUACCCCAAACCGACACAGGUGGUCAGGUAGAGAAUACCAAGGCGCUUGAGAGAACUCGGGUGAAGGAACUAGGCAAAAUGGUGCCGUAACUUCGGGAGAAGGCACGCUGACACGUAGGUGAAGUGAUUUACUCAUGGAGCUGAAGUCAGUCGAAGAUACCAGCUGGCUGCAACUGUUUAUUAAAAACACAGCACUGUGCAAACACGAAAGUGGACGUAUACGGUGUGACGCCUGCCCGGUGCCGGAAGGUUAAUUGAUGGGGUCAGCGCAAGCGAAGCUCCUGAUCGAAGCCCCGGUAAACGGCGGCCGUAACUAUAACGGUCCUAAGGUAGCGAAAUUCCUUGUCGGGUAAGUUCCGACCUGCACGAAUGGCGUAAUGAUGGCCAGGCUGUCUCCACCCGAGACUCAGUGAAAUUGAACUCGCUGUGAAGAUGCAGUGUACCCGCGGCAAGACGGAAAGACCCCGUGAACCUUUACUAUAGCUUGACACUGAACAUUGAGCCUUGAUGUGUAGGAUAGGUGGGAGGCUUUGAAGUGUGGACGCCAGUCUGCAUGGAGCCGACCUUGAAAUACCACCCUUUAAUGUUUGAUGUUCUAACGUGGACCCGUGAUCCGGGUUGCGGACAGUGUCUGGUGGGUAGUUUGACUGGGGCGGUCUCCUCCUAAAGAGUAACGGAGGAGCACGAAGGUUGGCUAAUCCUGGUCGGACAUCAGGAGGUUAGUGCAAUGGCAUAAGCCAGCUUGACUGCGAGCGUGACGGCGCGAGCAGGUGCGAAAGCAGGUCAUAGUGAUCCGGUGGUUCUGAAUGGAAGGGCCAUCGCUCAACGGAUAAAAGGUACUCCGGGGAUAACAGGCUGAUACCGCCCAAGAGUUCAUAUCGACGGCGGUGUUUGGCACCUCGAUGUCGGCUCAUCACAUCCUGGGGCUGAAGUAGGUCCCAAGGGUAUGGCUGUUCGCCAUUUAAAGUGGUACGCGAGCUGGGUUUAGAACGUCGUGAGACAGUUCGGUCCCUAUCUGCCGUGGGCGCUGGAGAACUGAGGGGGGCUGCUCCUAGUACGAGAGGACCGGAGUGGACGCAUCACUGGUGUUCGGGUUGUCAUGCCAAUGGCACUGCCCGGUAGCUAAAUGCGGAAGAGAUAAGUGCUGAAAGCAUCUAAGCACGAAACUUGCCCCGAG
RNAcentral lists this ribosomal RNA (2100 nucleotides) under Salmonella enterica. Its description in RNAcentral is "partial 23S ribosomal RNA". It matches the Rfam family "Bacterial large subunit ribosomal RNA", at positions 722 to 2803 of the family's 2925-position model. The record is from RNAcentral. Lineage: Bacteria; Pseudomonadati; Pseudomonadota; Gammaproteobacteria; Enterobacterales; Enterobacteriaceae.